GUGCCAGCCGCCGCGGUAAUACGAAGGGGGCUAGCGUUGCUCGGAAUCACUGGGCGUAAAGCGCACGUAGGCGGAUUUCUAAGUCAGGGGUGAAAUCCCGGAGCUCAACUCCGGAACUGCCUCUGAUACUGGAGAUCUCGAGUCCGGGAGAGGUGAGUGGAACUGCGAGUGUAGAGGUGAAAUUCGUAGAUAUUCGCAAGAACACCAGUGGCGAAGGCGGCUCACUGGCCCGGUACUGACGCUGAGGUGCGAAAGCGUGGGGAGCAAACAGGAUUAGAUACCCUUGUAGUCC
RNAcentral lists this ribosomal RNA (292 nucleotides) under uncultured bacterium. Its description in RNAcentral is "partial 16S ribosomal RNA". It matches the Rfam family "Bacterial small subunit ribosomal RNA", at positions 505 to 796 of the family's 1533-position model. The record is from RNAcentral.